This 271-nucleotide unclassified non-coding RNA is filed under the name Peniophora albobadia. RNAcentral describes it as "partial internal transcribed spacer region". The stretch from base 1 to 46 matches the Rfam family "Eukaryotic small subunit ribosomal RNA", at positions 1786 to 1831 of the family's 1831-position model. Lineage: Eukaryota; Fungi; Basidiomycota; Agaricomycetes; Russulales; Peniophoraceae. The record is from RNAcentral.
AAGUCGUAACAAGGUUUCCGUAGGUGAACCUGCGGAAGGAUCAUUAGCGAAGUUCGGAAUGCAUGUUCGAUGUUGAUGCUGCCCAGCAAUGGGAUGUGCUCGCUCGGAUGUGUGUCCCUUCUCUAUCCACCCCAUUGUGAACCAAGUGUGUGAGCCGAAGAGAAAUCGGAUGCUCGCAUGCAAAUCUUUAACAUACCCCAAUUAAGUAUCAGAAUGUACCUUGCGUUAACUCGCACAAAUAUAACUUUCAACAACGGAUCUCUUGGCUCUC